AUUGGUUUAUUUUUGGGAACUAUUCUUCAAAACGAUCUUAAAUAUAAUAUAAUACAACAAACUAUAAAUAUUGAUUGAAUAAUAAAGAUUAAAAAUUAUAUUAUAAAUUAAAAAGUAACGAUAAAAGUAACUAUUAAAUUCGUUACCGUUACUAAAAGAAUGUAACUACGUUACCGUUACAAUUACAAAAAAUAAAAAUUAACGCCGUUACUAAUUCGUUACCAAAAAAAAGUAGCUGUAACGGUAACGCCGUUACAAGUAACUCGUUAGUUCCAAUCCCUGUUGUUAUUACUUUAUUACUUAAUUACAUUUAUUUUACAUUUUUAUUUGUAAUCUGAUUAAUGCAAUAAAUAUAAAUGAUUUAUUUAAAUAUAGAAUGCAUAAUAUGUAUAAGAUAAUAUUUUAUUUGCAUAAGUCCGGGUCUACAAUAGAUAUAGUAAGUCUUAAGCCGUAAGAAAUUAACCAACUAUGAUCGAUUAUUCUCCUCAUACUCAAUUAUGAUUGGACAAUUUCUUAAGGCUUAAGGCUUACUACAUCUAUUGUAGAUUGGGACUAAUGUUGUACUUGUAUUUUAAAGUUUUAAUAAGUCAUGGUCCAUUUUUACAAGCGUUUUAAAGCGAUUUCGUUAUCCAAAUUCUUUUUACUUACAAUUGCCACGGCGGAAACUUUUAUGUGUGAUUUCUCGUUUAUGACAUCACAAUUUCAAUAUGGCCGCGGCGAGUAAACAAUAGGCGUAUUCUUUAACUUUUAACAACAGCCAGGGAUAUCGUUACGUGUUGUUGCGCAACUUUUCUACCAUGUAUAAUAUGUGCGCAACGACGCUGUAAGGAUAUCGAAUUGUCGUUACGAAGUUAGAGAAUACAGGAGCCUUAAUAGGAUGUCCACUAUCGGAAAAAAUAUAGAAAAUCAGGAAUUUGAAACUAUAUUCUGGAAACAGGGAUUUUCAUGGGAAUUUUUUAAGUUUUGUUUCUAAAUGACGUUCAAACACAAGAAAAUUCUUCUGCAAAAAAAUAUUAAAAAA
Solenopsis invicta (red fire ant) is the source of this 1021-nucleotide long non-coding RNA. RefSeq lists it as uncharacterized. The transcript has 2 exons. The record is from RefSeq and is a predicted model, not a curated record. NCBI's taxonomy places the organism in Eukaryota, Metazoa, Arthropoda, Insecta, Hymenoptera, Formicidae.